RNAcentral lists this ribosomal RNA (482 nucleotides) under uncultured bacterium. RNAcentral's name for it is "partial 16S ribosomal RNA". It matches the Rfam family "Bacterial small subunit ribosomal RNA", at positions 30 to 507 of the family's 1533-position model. The record is from RNAcentral.
AUUGAACGCUGGCGGCAUGCCUUACACAUGCAAGUCGAACGGUAACGGGCCUUCGGGUGCCGCCGAGUGGCGUACGGGGGAGUAAUACAUCGGAACGUGCCCGAUCGUGGGGGAUAACGAGGCGAAAGCUUUGCUAAUACCGCAUACGAUCUACGGAUGAAAGCAGGGGACCGCAAGGCCUUGCGCGGACGGAGCGGCCGAUGGCAGAUUAGGUAGUUGGUGGGAUAAAAGCUUACCAAGCCGACGAUCUGUAGCUGGUCUGAGAGGAUGAUCAGCCACACUGGGACUGAGACACGGCCCAGACUCCUACGGGAGGCAGCAGUGGGGACUUUUGGACAAUGGGCGCAAGCCUGAUCCAGCCAUGCCGCGUGCAGGAUGAAGGCCUUCGGGUUGUAGACUGCUUUUGUACGGAACGAAAAGCCUUCUUUUAAUACAGGAGGGUCAUGACGGUACCGUAAGAAUAAGCACCGGCUAACUACGUG